Molecule: ribosomal RNA, 446 nt
Filed under: uncultured bacterium
Lineage: Bacteria
Description: partial 16S ribosomal RNA
Rfam family: Bacterial small subunit ribosomal RNA
Source: RNAcentral
CCUACGGGUGGCAGCAGUCGAGAAUCAUUCACAAUGGGGGAAACCCUGAUGGUGCGACGCCGCGUGGGGGAAUGAAGGUCUUCGGAUUGUAAACCUCUGUUAUGUGGGAGCAAAUUAAAAAGAUAGUACCACAAGAGGAAUAGACGGCUAACUCUGUGCCAGCAGCCGCGGUAAUACAGAGGUCUUAAGCGUUGUUCGGAAGCACUGGGCGUAAAGCGUGCGUAGGCUGUGUCGUAAGUCGUGUGUGAAAGGCGCGGGCUCAACCCGCGGACGGCACAUGAUACUGCGAGACUAGAGUAGUGGAGGGGGAACCGGAAUUCUCGGUGUAGCAGUGAAAUGCGUAGAUAUCGAGAGGAACACUCGUGGCGAAGGCGGGUUCCUGGACAUUAACUGACGCUGAGGCACGAAGGCCAGGGGAGCGAAAGGGAUUAGAUACCCGUGUAGUC